AAAAAAGCCGGGAUAGCUC
RNAcentral lists this transfer RNA (19 nucleotides) under Andreaea rupestris var. fauriei. Its description in RNAcentral is "partial tRNA-Phe". Lineage: Eukaryota; Viridiplantae; Streptophyta; Andreaeopsida; Andreaeales; Andreaeaceae. The record is from RNAcentral.